Molecule: transfer RNA, 76 nt
Filed under: Minisyncoccota bacterium
Lineage: Bacteria; Bacillati; Minisyncoccota
Description: tRNA-Phe
Rfam family: tRNA
About the family: Transfer RNA (tRNA) molecules are approximately 80 nucleotides in length. Their secondary structure includes four short double-helical elements and three loops (D, anti-codon, and T loops).
Source: RNAcentral
GCUGGGAUAGCUCAGUUGGUAGAGCAUUCGCCUGAAGAGCGAGGGGUCCCCGGUUCAAGCCCGGGUCCCAGCACCA